UCCUACGGGAGGCAGCAGUGAGGAAUAUUGGUCAAUGGGCGCAGGCCUGAACCAGCCAAGUCGCGUGAGGGAAGACGGUCCUACGGAUUGUAAACCUCUUUUGCCGGGGAGCAAAGGGGCCAUUGAUGGCAGGAUGAGCGUACCCGGAGAAAAAGCAUCGGCUAACUCCGUGCCAGCAGCCGCGGUAAUACGGAGGAUGCGAG
This 203-nucleotide ribosomal RNA is filed under the name uncultured bacterium. RNAcentral describes it as "partial 16S ribosomal RNA". It matches the Rfam family "Bacterial small subunit ribosomal RNA", at positions 337 to 538 of the family's 1533-position model. The record is from RNAcentral.